This 255-nucleotide ribosomal RNA is filed under the name uncultured bacterium. Its description in RNAcentral is "partial 16S ribosomal RNA". It matches the Rfam family "Bacterial small subunit ribosomal RNA", at positions 524 to 777 of the family's 1533-position model. The record is from RNAcentral.
UACGUAGGGUGCAAGCGUUAAUCGGAAUUACUGGGCGUAAAGCGUGCGCAGGCGGUUUUGUAAGCCAGAUGUGAAAGCCCCGGGCUCAACCUGGGAACUGCAUUUGGGACUGCAAGGCUGGAGUACGGCAGAGGGAGGUGGAAUUCCACGUGUAGCAGUGAAAUGCGUAGAGAUGUGGAGGAACACCGAUGGCGAAGGCAGCCUCCUGGGCUAGUACUGACGCUCAGUGCACGAAAGCGUGGGGAGCAAACAGGA